Corticium candelabrum is the source of this 1262-nucleotide RNA transcript. RefSeq lists it as uncharacterized. The record is from RefSeq and is a predicted model, not a curated record. Lineage: Eukaryota; Metazoa; Porifera; Homoscleromorpha; Homosclerophorida; Plakinidae. The transcript has 4 exons.
GAGUAACAGCUGGACUAGAUACCUGAAUGGUUGCCUCCCAAGCUGGUAUUUUGGGCCGCAAUCAAAACCAUGUUCAGUGGUGUAUCACGUCUGUGUAAAAUGGCAUCGUGCCUUUCAAAUUUUGCAGAAACCAAGUGUUCUGUCUACGAUACAAUGCAGGAGAUGAUCAAUCAUGUUUAGAUGAACGUCUGAACUGUAAACUGUGAUUCUAGCAUCUUUUUGCGUUGCUGGUUGAGCUGAUUAUUGAUAUCAGACAAGGUAGUUUUGACCUUCCAUCUAUCCUAGGUGAUGCAUGGCUUGGAAUUUGUUAUAUGGGAACAUCGGCAAGAAAGACAACAUUUGAACAAAUGCAAGGAAUCCAUCAAGUACGAGAAGCAUUUACUAAAUCUCUCAACAUACUGCUAUUUUAUUCAAAUUGUGAUGAAGGAAUAUUUGAAGUGUUGAGGGGCCUUGGUGGUACAUGUGGCAUGAAAAUUGAUGAGGAGACUAUAGAUGAGAAGGCCACUAUGCUAAAACUAAUAGCAAGGAAAGCAUAUACUUGGAGAGAUUAUGCCAUAGCUAAAGAUUUGUUCUGCAUGCAAAUGGAAGUUGAAGCUGCUACAAUGGUUUUACAGUCAGUACAAAAAGCUAUUGGUAUACAGUUGUUUGUUUGUAUAUGGAUGAUUAGGUGUUAAGUGGGAAGAUAAUGUUGACUGCGUCAUGUGAGAAAACUGUGCCAAAAUAUAUUGUUAAUUGUGUGUGUGUGUGUGUGUGUGUGUGUGUGUGUGUGUGUGUGUGUGUGUGUGUGUGUGUGUGUGUGUGUGUGUGUGUGUCAAGGCUUAUGGGAUUGGGAAGUUUUGUUGGUAUCGAUUAUGUUAUUAAUCAGAUGUGACCAAUAGUAAUUUUAUCUCUGUGCUUCAGCGCUGCACGACAUCGGUUUGUGUCAGAUGCAUCUCUCACAGUUGGAUGAAGCUGAGGAAACAUUUACUGAAUCACUGAGAAUUGCUCAAUUUCCGAGACCAGAAGAGCAUGAAGGUUUACAGAUAUGAGAUCUGGCAACACGUUCACUAUUUUGAGAGACAAACGUUGAAUGUAAGAUUAGCAGCAGGAUCGAACUGAAACAGCACAAUGUGGUAUAGACACUGACAUAACAAGCAAUUUUAAUUCCCUAUUGAAAGUAUAUCUGCCUGAUUAUAUUUUUAAAAUUUUGUAAUUUGUAAAUUAAUAUAUUUUAUCAAUAUUAUUAUUAUCAAACCACUUGAAACCUCAAUUGACUGUUUUGU